GGGGGGGGGGGGGGGGGGGGGGGGGGGGGGGGGGGGGAGGGCGGGAGGUGUGGGGUGGUGGGUGGGAGGAGUGGCGAACGGGGGAGUAGUACAUAAGCAACGUACCCACGAAGACUGGGAUAAUCUCUGGAAACGGGGACUAGUACCGGAUAGGUAAUCGGAAGGCAUCUUCUGAUUAUUAAAGGUUAAAAACACUGGUGGAUGGGCUUAUGGCGCAUUAGUUAGUUGGUGAGGUAACGGCCCACCAAGACGAUGAUGCGUAGCCGGCCUGAGAGGGUGAACGGCCACAUUGGGACUGAGACACGGCCCAGACUCCUACGGGAGGCAGCAGUAGGGAAUUUUCGGCAAUGGGGGAAACCCUGACCGAGCAACGCCGCGUGAGUGAUGACGGCCUUCGGGUUGUAAAGCUCUGUUGUAAGGGAAGAACGGUAGAUAGAGAAUAUCUAAAUGACGGUACCUUACCAGAAAGCCACGGCUAACUACGUG
RNAcentral lists this ribosomal RNA (486 nucleotides) under uncultured bacterium. Its description in RNAcentral is "partial 16S ribosomal RNA". The stretch from base 50 to 486 matches the Rfam family "Bacterial small subunit ribosomal RNA", at positions 39 to 507 of the family's 1533-position model. The record is from RNAcentral.